UCUCCGUAGGUGAACCUGCGGAGGGAUCAUUACAGAGUUCAUGCCCUACCGGGUAGAUCUCCCACCCUAUGUUAUUAUUACUUUGUUGCUUUGGCGGGCCGUUAGGCUCCGGCCCGACUACCGCCCUCGGCUGGUAAGCGCCCGCCAGAGGACCCAAAACCCUGAAUAUUAGUGUCGUCUGAGUACUAUAUAAUAGUUAAAACUUUCAACAACGGAUCUCUUGGUUCUG
Molecule: unclassified non-coding RNA, 229 nt
Filed under: plant metagenome
Description: partial contains small subunit ribosomal RNA, internal transcribed spacer 1, and 5.8S ribosomal RNA
Source: RNAcentral